RNAcentral lists this unclassified non-coding RNA (350 nucleotides) under soil metagenome. RNAcentral describes it as "partial contains 5.8S ribosomal RNA, internal transcribed spacer 2, and large subunit ribosomal RNA". The stretch from base 1 to 120 matches the Rfam family "5.8S ribosomal RNA", at positions 35 to 154 of the family's 154-position model. The record is from RNAcentral.
GAUGAAGAACGCAGCGAACUGCGAUAAGUAAUGUGAAUUGCAGAAUUCAGUGAAUCAUCGAGUCUUUGAACGCACAUUGCGCCCCCUGGCAUUCCGGGGGGCAGGCCUGUCCGAGCGUCAUUGCUGCCCUUCAAGCCCGGCUUGUGUGUUGGGUCGUCGUCCCCCCCGGGGGACGGGCCCGAAAGGCAGCGGCGGCACCGCGUCCGGUCCUCGAGCGUAUGGGGCUUUGUCACCCGCUCGAUUAGGGCCGGCCGGGCGCCAGCCGGCGUCUCCAACCUUCUAUUUUACCAGGUUGACCUCGGAUCAGGUAGGGAUACCCGCUGAACUUAAGCAUAUCAAUAAGCGGAGGA